GAGUGGCGAACUGGUGAGUAACACGUGGGAAACCUGCCCAGAAGCGGGGGAUAACACCUGGAAACAGAUGCUAAUACCGCAUAACAACUUGGACCGCAUGGUCCGAGUUUGAAAGAUGGCUUCGGCUAUCACUUUUGGAUGGUCCCGCGGCGUAUUAGCUAGAUGGUGGGGUAACGGCUCACCAUGGCAAUGAUACGUAGCCGACCUGAGAGGGUAAUCGGCCACAUUGGGACUGAGACACGGCCCAAACUCCUACGGGAGGCAGCAGUAGGGAAUCUUCCACAAUGGACGAAAGUCUGAUGGAGCAACGCCGCGUGAGUGAAGAAGGGUUUCGGCUCGUAAAACUCUGUUGUUAAAGAAGAACAUAUCUGAGAGUAACUGUUCAGGUAUUGACGGUAUUUAACCAGAAAGCCACGGCUAACUACGUGCCAGCAGCCGCGGUAAUACGUAGGUGGCAAGCGUUGUCCGGAUUUAUUGGGCGUAAAGCGAGCGCAGGCGGUUUUUUAAGUCUGAUGUGAAAGCCUUCGGCUCAACCGAAGAAGUGCAUCGGAAACUGGGAAACUUGAGUGCAGAAGAGGACAGUGGAACUCCCAUGUGUAGCGGUGAAAUGCGUAGAUAUAUGGAAGAACACCAGUGGCGAAGGCGGCUGUCUGGUCUGUAACUGACGCUGAGGCUCGAAAGUAUGGGUAGCAAACAGGAUUAGAUACCCUGGUAGUCCAUACCGUAAACGAUGAAUGCUAAGUGUUGGAGGGUUUCCGCCCUUCAGUGCUGCAGCUAACGCAUUAAGCAUUCCGCCUGGGGAGUACGGCCGCAAGGCUGAAACUCAAAGGAAUUGACGGGGGCCCGCACAAGCGGUGGAGCAUGUGGUUUAAUUCGAAGCUACGCGAAGAACCUUACCAGGUCUUGACAUACUAUGCAAAUCUAAGAGAUUAGACGUUCCCUUCGGGGACAUGGAUACAGGUGGUGCAUGGUUGUCGUCAGCUCGUGUCGUGAGAUGUUGGGUUAAGUCCCGCAACGAGCGCAACCCUUAUUAUCAGUUGCCAGCAUUAAGUUGGGCACUCUGGUGAGACUGCCGGUGACAAACCGGAGGAAGGUGGGGAUGACGUCAAAUCAUCAUGCCCCUUAUGACCUGGGCUACACACGUGCUACAAUGGAUGGUACAACGAGUUGCGAACUCGCGAGAGUAAGCUAAUCUCUUAAAGCCAUUCUCAGUUCGGAUUGUAGGCUGCAACUCGCCUACAUGAAGUCGGAAUCGCUAGUAAUCGCGGAUCAGCAUGCCGCGGUGAAUACGUUCCCGGGCCUUGUACACACCGCCCGUCACACCAUGAGAGUUUGUAACACCCAAAGUCGGUGGGGUAACCUUUUAGGAACCAGCCGCCUAA
This 1382-nucleotide ribosomal RNA is filed under the name Lactiplantibacillus plantarum. RNAcentral describes it as "Lactobacillus plantarum 16S ribosomal RNA". It matches the Rfam family "Bacterial small subunit ribosomal RNA", at positions 93 to 1460 of the family's 1533-position model. The record is from RNAcentral. Lineage: Bacteria; Bacillati; Bacillota; Bacilli; Lactobacillales; Lactobacillaceae.